This 212-nucleotide small nucleolar RNA is filed under the name Glossina morsitans morsitans. RNAcentral's name for it is "small nucleolar RNA U3". It matches the Rfam family "Small nucleolar RNA U3". From Rfam's summary of the family: Small nucleolar RNAs (snoRNAs) are involved in the processing and modification of rRNA in the nucleolus. There are two main classes of snoRNAs: the box C/D class, and the box H/ACA class. The record is from RNAcentral. Lineage: Eukaryota; Metazoa; Arthropoda; Insecta; Diptera; Glossinidae.
AAGACUAUACUUCACAGGAUCAUUUCUGUAGUCAGUCUUCAUUUAUUGCCAUCACAAGAUGGCCAUAACUCUACCCGCGAUGACGAGUUAUGUCGUUUUACCUGGAGCGUGAGGUUAUGAACAUUGUCGGUUCAGUUCACCAUUAUGGUGGGCUGGGGACAAUGUUUCUUCGAUGAUCGCUUGAUUAACGGGUAAAACGAUUUCAGAGUGGU